AGUGUGAAUACAGUAUAAAAAUAUUCCAUAAUUUAUAUUAUUUAUAUAUCAUCAUUCAUCAUUAAUAGAAAAUUCUAGAUACCUUUCUGUAUCUCACUCCCUUAAAAUUGAAUCUUUCAAGACAUAGCAGAUUAGCAAUGACCAAGACACCCAAAUGCAGCCAUAAUUUCAAUUUCCAAUUGAAGAAACUGCACACAAAAAAGGGUUACGUGAAUAAGAAAUUGAAAUUUUGAAUCCCGAAUUUCAGAUAAAAUUGUAGCACAAAAUAGGAAUAAUCUCCUUACAAUUCAAAGUGUAUUGCUGUGUUCGGUGUCUUGUUUUGCCGUUUGUAGUGGUAGAGUCUCCGACGGAGGGAGUCAAAUGGUUGGCAGCGACG
This 376-nucleotide long non-coding RNA is filed under the name Olea europaea (common olive). RNAcentral describes it as "long non-coding RNA (OEUR_LNC001067)". Lineage: Eukaryota; Viridiplantae; Streptophyta; Magnoliopsida; Lamiales; Oleaceae. The record is from RNAcentral.